This 484-nucleotide ribosomal RNA is filed under the name uncultured bacterium. RNAcentral's name for it is "partial 16S ribosomal RNA". It matches the Rfam family "Bacterial small subunit ribosomal RNA", at positions 30 to 507 of the family's 1533-position model. The record is from RNAcentral.
AUUGAACGCUGGCGGCAGGCCUAACACAUGCAAGUCGAGCGGAUGAAGGGAGCUUGCUCCUGGAUUCAGCGGCGGACGGGUGAGUAAUGCCUAGGAAUAUGCCUGGUAGUGGGGGAUAACGUCCGGAGACGGGCGCUAAUACCGCAUACGUCCUGAGGGAGAAAGUGGGGGAUCUUCGGACCUCACGCUAUCAGAUGAGCCUAGGUCGGAUUAGCUAGUUGGUGGGGUAAGGGCCUACCAAGGCGACGAUCCGUAACUGGUCUGAGAGGAUGAUCAGUCACACGGGAACUGAGACACGGUCCAGACUCCUACGGGAGGCAGCAGUGGGGAAUAUUGGACAAUGGGCGAAAGCCUGAUCCAGCCAUGCCGCGUGUGUGAAGAAGGUCUUCGGAUUGUAAAGCACUUUAAGUUGGGAGGAAGGGCAGUAAGUUAAUACCUUGCUGUUUUGACGUUACCAACAGAAUAAGCACCGGCUAACUUCGUG